UAGCUUAGUGGCGGACGGGUGAGUAACGCGUGAGCAACCUGCCUUUCAGAGGGGGAGUAACGUUUGGAAACGAACGCUAAUACCGCAUAAGACCACACUUCCACAUGGGAGAGGGGUCAAAGGAGCAAUCCGCUGAAAGAUGGGCUCGCGUCCGAUUAGAUAGUUGGGGGGGUAACGGCCCACCAAGUCGACGAUCGGUAGCCGGACUGAGAGGUUGAACGGCCACAUUGGGACUGAGACACGGCCCAGACUCCUACGGAAGGCAGCAG
RNAcentral lists this ribosomal RNA (269 nucleotides) under uncultured bacterium. RNAcentral describes it as "partial 16S ribosomal RNA". It matches the Rfam family "Bacterial small subunit ribosomal RNA", at positions 88 to 354 of the family's 1533-position model. The record is from RNAcentral.